RNAcentral lists this ribosomal RNA (466 nucleotides) under uncultured bacterium. RNAcentral describes it as "bacterial SSU rRNA". It matches the Rfam family "Bacterial small subunit ribosomal RNA", at positions 328 to 792 of the family's 1533-position model. The record is from RNAcentral.
UGCCCAGACUCCUACGGGAGGCAGCAGUGAGGAAUAUUGGUCAAUGGCCGAGAGGCUGAACCAGCCAAGUCGCGUGAGGGAUGACGGCCCUACGGGUUGUAAACCUCUUUUGUCGGGGAGCAAAGAGAGUCACGUGUGGCUCAUUGAGAGUACCCGAAGAAAAAGCAUCGGCUAACUCCGUGCCAGCAGCCGCGGUAAUACGGAGGAUGCGAGCGUUAUCCGGAUUUAUUGGGUUUAAAGGGUGCGUAGGCGGAAUAUCAAGUCAGCGGUAAAAAUUCGGGGCUCAACCCCGUCGUGCCGUUGAAACUGGGGAUCUAGAGUGUGCGAGAGGUAUGCGGAAUGCGUGGUGUAGCGGUGAAAUGCAUAGAUAUCACGCAGAACCCCGAUUGCGAAGGCAGCAUACCGGUGCACAACUGACGCUCAGGCACGAAAGCGUGGGUAUCGAACAGGAUUAGAUACCCCAGUA